This 171-nucleotide ribosomal RNA is filed under the name Brosmophycis marginata. RNAcentral's name for it is "partial 12S rRNA". The record is from RNAcentral. Lineage: Eukaryota; Metazoa; Chordata; Actinopteri; Ophidiiformes; Bythitidae.
CACCGCGGUUAUACGAGAGACCCAAGUUGAUAACUCCCGGCGUAAAGCGUGGUUAAGGAAACCUCAAACUAAAGUCGAACACUCUCAAAGCUGUUAUACGCACAUCGAGAACAUGAAGAACUACCACAAAAGUGACUUUAAGCCCACCCCGAACCCACGAAAGCUAAGAUA